UACGGAGGGUGCAAGCGUUAUCCGGAUUCACUGGGUUUAAAGGGUGCGUAGGUGGGUAAGUAAGUCAGUGGUGAAAUCUCCGGGCUUAACCCGGAAACUGCCAUUGAUACUAUUUGUCUUGAAUACUGUGGAGGUCAGCGGAAUAUGUCAUGUAGCGGUGAAAUGCUUAGAUAUGACAUAGAACACCAAUUGCGAAGGCAGCUUACUAGACAGUCAUUGACACUGAGGCACGAAAGCGUGGGGAUCAAACAGG
This 253-nucleotide ribosomal RNA is filed under the name uncultured bacterium. RNAcentral describes it as "partial 16S ribosomal RNA". It matches the Rfam family "Bacterial small subunit ribosomal RNA", at positions 524 to 776 of the family's 1533-position model. The record is from RNAcentral.